AUUGAACGCUGGCGGCAUGCCUUACACAUGCAAGUCGAACGGUAACAGGUCUUCGGAUGCUGACGAGUGGCGAACGGGUGAGUAAUACAUCGGAACGUGCCUAGUAGUGGGGGAUAACUACUCGAAAGAGUGGCUAAUACCGCAUGAGAUCUACGGAUGAAAGCAGGGGAUCGCAAGAUCUUGUGCUACUAGAGCGGCCGAUGGCAGAUUAGGUAGUUGGUGGGAUAAAAGCUUACCAAGCCGACGAACUGUAGCUGGUCUGAGAGGACAAUCAGCCACACUGGGACUGGGACACGGCCCAGACGCCGACGGGAGGCAGCAGGGGGGAAUUUUGGACAAUGGGCGAAAGCCUGAUCCAGCAAUGCCGCGUGCAGGAUGAAGGCCUUCGGGUUGUAAACUGCUUUUGUACGGAACGAAAAGCCCUGGGUUAAUACCCUGGAGUCAUGACGGUACCGUAAGAAUAAGCACCGGCUAACUACGUGCCAGCCGCCGCAGUAA
Molecule: ribosomal RNA, 498 nt
Filed under: uncultured bacterium
Lineage: Bacteria
Description: partial 16S ribosomal RNA
Rfam family: Bacterial small subunit ribosomal RNA
Source: RNAcentral